AUACUGCUGUUGAUGAUGUGAAUUUUGGAAAUAUUCUCCCCUAUUGGGUCUUUCUCCAUGACAGAUGAUGUCCUUUGGCUUCGGUUUUUUGCCUAAGAACUGUAAGUGGUGCUUGCUAGCCCUACUAAGAAUCCUGCCAUUGUUGCAAAUUUCAGAAAAAAGGCUGGAGUGCAGUGGUGCACACGCCUCACACUGUGACACAGCGGGAGAGCCCAGAGCGACAGCUGUUGGAAUGACUGCACUCUUCCUGCUCAAGUCUGACCUUUCCAAGCCUUUGUCCUAUGUCUGGAGACUUCUUGGAAGCUGGAGCACACAAAUAGCUACAGCAAACUUGAGGAAUGGGCAUGAAUAGACUGGCUUCGGGGAACCUGCCAGCUUGGCCGUGUGGCCAAGGUAAUAGGCAAGCCAAGGCAGAGCUAGAGCUCAGAGCUGGAGGGGAAAUUAAAGCAGCAAAUGUAGAAACAUUAAGCCUGAAGAGGCGACGACGUUGAAUUCUAAAAUGCAGGCCAAAGCUCAGACUGCAAGCUGUCUGGCUGCUCCGGGUGUGCCCAGAAGUCAAAGUCCAGCAGGGGCAAAGGUGGAGGUGUGGUCCUGCACGUGGGGUGUUGGGGGGAUGUGGAAGAGGAGGUGCUUUAAGAUCCAGAGAUUCCAGCUGCCCUGGUGCACCCUUGGAAGAAUAAAAGGCUAGGAACUGGACAAGUCAGGCUCGAGUCCAAGCUGCCUGAGGAAUCGGGGAAAGAAUGGAGCUCAGAGUGGGAGGUCAGGGCAGUAUUUAAAAAUCCAGGAUAGCAGCAAAGCUGGCGGUGGCCCCUGACUCUGGUAAGGGCAGCCUGCAGCACCAUGCCAAGGGGGGCCUGACUGAUCAUGCCCUGCAUUUGCAAACAAGGAUUAGUAGGGUAUGAGUAGGAUUCUGCUGGUGCCUGGGAAGGCAGUGCCAUCUACAACUUUACAAAGUUUUAACAAAGGCCUGAAGGACACAACCUUCCCCAAAGUCCUGACGUCGCUGUUUGCUGGCAACAAAUAGAGUCAAAAGAAGAGAGGCACAGAAUGUGCCAGGGGUGUGCUGCGUACAGCCCCGAUGACCACAAGGCCUUCUUGGGUCAAGUUCUGCCAUCUCUGGUUAAGAUGGGCUCACCCUCUAGGACCCUGAUUGAGUCCUCGGACCACCAAGAGUGCCCCACCAAGAGCCUCCCUCUUCUGGUGACUCGUGCCUGCUUCCCGUGGAGAGCUCCAGAAGGGAGGAAACUGUGAGGAGGUGGAGAACGUGGCAGGGAUCCUAACUUUCUUACUGAAGGAAGUUCUUCACAAGUACCCAUCUGCCUUCAGGGAAGAAAACAUAACUCAUUUUGGUCUUUCAAAUUCAGUUCUCAAAACCAAAUCCUGUUGUCAGCAAUCUGUGUCCCAACGCCUUCUUCAGCAACAGCAUUUUCCCUGUGGAAUUAGUUUCCAAUGUUCUUUCUUAAAUAAACCACUGAAGAUUAAAAGGAAUCCAGAUACCCACCACAUUUUGUUUCCUUAAUGAGUAAUUAUCACAUUUCUUUGGCUACUUAAAUGCAUUCUCUGAGUCAGGUAAAGGAGAUCGUAAUAGUUAAUCAACAAGAAGUAAUUCUUGGGUACUUAACAAUAGUCUAAGCACUUAAUCAUACUUAAAAUUGACUAUUAAUGAACCUUAUAAACCAUUUUGCAAUUCUGAAAGUGAAUUUCUCUGCAGGCUUAGAGAUUACUAAGCCAUUUAGAUCUUACCAAACAAAUAUUAUUCAUGCUUUAAUUCCUGGGAAAAGAAAUUUAGAAAAUGAGGUUAAUGUUCAGUUGUCCUUUCCUGAGUUUAACAAUUAUAUAUUCCAUCUGGGAUGCUCUGAACUCAGGUUAAACAUUCUUCAAGUUAUUCCCACAUUUUUCAAGUUAUUCCCACGUUAGUGACCUACUUUAUUAGUAUUAUUACUAAAGAAAAGGGCUGGGUGCGGUGGCCCACAUCUGUAAUCCCAGCACUUUGGGAGGCUGAAGCAGGAGGAUCACUUGAGCUUGGGAGUUCAAGACCAGCCUGAGAGGGAGACUCCGUCUCUAC
RNAcentral lists this long non-coding RNA (2065 nucleotides) under Homo sapiens (human). RNAcentral describes it as "non-protein coding LINC01010:13". The record is from RNAcentral. Lineage: Eukaryota; Metazoa; Chordata; Mammalia; Primates; Hominidae.